AAACCAAUCAAACAGGUAGGCCAGUCACGUCGUACGCCAAUCAACAGUGAGAUUGACCUUGAGCGAGGUGCGUUGAGAAAGAAAGUUUGUGGCAAACAAAGUACUGGCUCAGGCGCUAUGUAAUGUUAAAAAGAAGAAAAUACAAGUAAAAUGGACUAGGGAUCGCUCUAAAACUAAAAUAAACACCAGAGCACAAUUCGGAAAGACCGCGGAAUCGAGUGCUGAAGCCGGACGCUGAGCUCCCAUUGCUUCUUCUGGACCGGGUCUGGAAUUCUGUGGGAAGGAGGCACUGUGGAAUACCGGGGUCCGGAAUUCUGUGGGAAGGAGGCACUGUGGAACACCGGGGUCCGGAAUUCUGUGUGAAGGAGGCACUGUGGAAUAUCGGGGUCCGGAAUUCUGCGGGAAGAAGGCAGUGUCGCAUUUCCAUGCGGGAGUCCAGGAGCAUGCUUUGCUGGUGGAAGUGGGAAAAACAGCCUCAGAGUGAGUGGAAUGAAGCAGCUUGCCCUGGAAACAUCGGCAGGUCGUUAGGCAAUAAAAUGCAUCACCAUGCAGCGCUCCAGAAUGCAGCAACGCAGCUCCAACACAGCUGCAUGGAGUGCCUGUAGUAAUGCCUGUGCUGAUGAGAGGAGUGGCCAU
This is a long non-coding RNA of Anguilla anguilla (European eel), 636 nucleotides long. RefSeq lists it as uncharacterized. The record is from RefSeq and is a predicted model, not a curated record. Lineage: Eukaryota; Metazoa; Chordata; Actinopteri; Anguilliformes; Anguillidae. The transcript has 3 exons.